This 496-nucleotide ribosomal RNA is filed under the name uncultured organism. Its description in RNAcentral is "SSU rRNA". It matches the Rfam family "Bacterial small subunit ribosomal RNA", at positions 8 to 509 of the family's 1533-position model. The record is from RNAcentral.
AGAGUUUGAUCCUGGCUCAGGAUGAACGCUAGCUACAGGCUUAACACAUGCAAGUCGAGCGGAACAGCUUCUGCUGUUUAGCGGCAGACGGGUGAGUAACACGUAUCCAACCUUUCCCUUACCCGGGUAUAGCCUCGGGAAACUGAGAGUAAUCCCCGAUGUGGUGUACGAGAAGCAUUUGUUGCACACCAAAGAUUCAUCGGUAAGGGGUGGGGAUGCGUUCCAUUAGCUAGUAGGCGGGGUAACGGCCCACCUAGGCGAUGAUGGAUAGGGGUUCUGAGAGGAAGGUCCCCCACACUGGAACUGCGACACGGUCCAGACUCCUACGGGAGGCAGCAGUGAGGAAUAUUGGUCAAUGGGCGGUAGCCUGAACCAGCCAAGUAGCGUGCAGGAUGACGGCCCUACGGGUUGUAAACUGCUUUUGUGCGGGAAUAACGGUCUUUACGUGUAGAGAUGUGCAUGUACCGUACGAAUAAGGAUCGGCUAACUCCGUGCC